Oryza sativa Japonica Group (Japanese rice) is the source of this 3633-nucleotide non-coding RNA. The record is from RefSeq and is a predicted model, not a curated record. Lineage: Eukaryota; Viridiplantae; Streptophyta; Magnoliopsida; Poales; Poaceae.
UCAACUACACAAAAAAAAUUAAUUUAGAAAUGGUGGGGCCCACGGUGGCCCACAUGUCAACUACACAACAAAAUAAAUAUGGUGGGGCCCACGUGGACCCCGUAUGUAGGCUGUAGCAAUUUCUUUCUCCUCUCUAUACCCUUCUCCCCUACCUUCCCAUAUCAGCCAUUGCCGUCGACGAAGAAGCUUCGCGUGGGUGGUAGAGCGGGGCGGAGUGAGGGGCGGCGGCGCGGCGGAUCCUCGCGACCACGUACGGCUUCGUCUUGACGGCACCGACGACGCGGAACCGGUCGCCGCCGACGUACCCCACCUCGCCGGCGCACCCCGCCCCCACUCCGCGCGGGCCGCCGCCGCCGGAGUACACGACGCCGAUCCUGGAGCCACGUGUGCACCAUGGUCCGGUUCCUGAACUCGAACGCCUGGAGCUGCACCGUCGCGCCGGGAAGACCACUGACGGGAACAGCACGAUGGGGAUCUCCGCCGCUUGCUCCUGCCGCGGCGCCCUCGUCCACGCAGCCGUGCAGGUUGCUGCCGCCCCUGCAUGUUUCCCAUCAAACGUGUACUAGCAACUACAACCAGCAACACCAUGGAUUGUUAGUUGAGAUGAUCACAUCUUCCAUAUAUAUCAUAUCAGUUAUCCCCAGCUCCUAGGUUUUUUCUCCAGCUAUGAUCAAUGAUUCAAACGAGUACACUUUGUCCGAUCCACAGGUCUGAAUAUUCCAUCCGCAGAGAAUUCUGAGACGACGACGACGAAGAAGCUAGAUGGAACUUGCAGAGUCUUGAGCGCCGUGGUCUCCUCCUCCUCCUCCGCGGCAGCGGCGGCGGGCUGCCUCGAGCUCCCGUCCACGUGCGGCUGCGACUCGGCGGGCGGCGGAGCCAAGCGGAGGGCGCCAGCCUCGUCGUCGUCGUCUUCCGGCACGAAGCCGGCGGGGCGGGGCGGAGCGGGGGGCGGAUGGCAGCGCGAAGCCGACGGGAUGGACUGGGGCAGCGACGGGCGGACGCGCGGGCGGAGUCUUCUUGAGGUCGUCGUCCCCGGCGCCGCCGUGACCGUGGCCGGAGAGGGGAGAUGGGGAGAGGGGAGGAAGAAGAGGUAGGGGUGAGUGACAUGCGGGGCCCACGUGGGCCCCACCAUUUUUUAUUACUUUAUGUCUAAAACUGACAUGUGGGUCCCAUGGGGUUUAAUAUUUUUUCAUAUCAAGUUGCCACGUCACCACCAUGUCAAUGCCACGUGAGACAAGGAGCUAGUCAAAGGGAGCCACGUAGGUGCCACAUCAUUUAAAACCGGGCACAAUACUGCCGAGGGACUUUUUCUGCAUGGUUUUGUAAGUUGAGAGAUGAGUUGUAUCUGGUUUUGCGACCAAAGGAUAGAAAUAGGACUGGACGACAGAUAAAGGGACCCAAGUGAACUUAUUCCCAUGCGGAACAACCUACAAUCCGGCUUCAUUUAGAAUGGGCCUCAAUUCAAGCCCAUUUAUCUGUAUGGGCUAGAAUUUAAGUUCAAAUCCUCAUCCUUUUCACGCUUGAUUGGGCUGGGAUUAAGGCCCAUUUAUACACGGCCACCAUGCUUCUUUUUACCAACGAACGAACUGUCGCAUUCAAAAGAAGAGAAAACACCCCCCCUUCUUCUUUCUCCUUGACGUCAUGUCAGUGAACUUGUUUUCCUUUCCCUCCUUCAAAAACCAUGUAAGCAAAUCCAGGAGAGAAAAAAAUAAAGAUCUAGACAUCGGACGGCACUAUCCAAGUUUACCACAUCCUGCGGGCAGAGCUCGCGUCACUGCCGUCACACCGUAGGGAGUUUAACGCGCCUAAGCAUCCACACCCCUCGCCGGGCGUCCGCAUCAACGCUGCUGCUCCCGUCGCCGUGCCACCCACUCCACCAUCAGUCCAUCACAUAUUCUCUCGUCCUAUCUCUGAUGGCGCUGUCCACAUGCGCCACCGUGGCACGCGCCGCGCCGCGCCGCGUCAGGCGUCCGUCAGCGGGUGGAAACCCACCGGUAAUGAGAACGAACGCCACCGCGACCACACACAGAACCCGCUCGGAAACACAAACAUCGGCGUUGAACGCGCGACGAAUUCCAACGCGAGAACGCGCCCAAAACCGCAAAGCAGCCGAGCUUCUCUCGCGCGCGCACCAACCGCCGCCCGUGCCCGGUGCUCCCCCCACUCACGGCACUACAACAGGAAUACCCCUCCACCAACGUAUAGGCUGCAACGGAAGUGAUAAUCGUUGUUAAGCAUCCGCUUUCAACCACUCGGCCACGCCCAGCGACCCAAGUCAACAGAAACGCAACCAACCAUUAUCUUUUCCUGAAAAACCUCCCCUCACAAUCCUCGCCCGAUCGAAAAGGAUCGUGAUCCCAGAUCGCUGCCGUGUCAAUGCUGCGCCGCCCCGGCCCGAGCACCGCCGCCUCGUCCCUGCCCUGACCCCGCCGCAUCCUCCAGUUCUGCCGUCGACGCUGCGCCGCCUCGACCCGCAUGUCGCCGCUUUAUCCUCUCCCGUGCUGCGCCGACGGCUGACCGGCACGCCGCCGCCUCAUUGCCCCGAUCGCGAUGGCCCCUGAAUCCCCUGACCCUGUUGCCUGGACCGCCACAUCGUGCUCCAUCUCGUCCGCUGCUGUUCUCAGCUGAUCUGGUUGAUCCCUAGUGACUUAGUUAUUAGUUAUUGAUCAUGCCCCAAGUUUCUCGAUGGAAUUGCAAUGUAAGCUAAGUGAUUAGUGAAUCUUGUGGCUAUUUUUCUGCUCUGGUAUGUGGUAAUGACAUGAACCAUGCCUUUUUUAUUAACUUUAUCAUUAUACAGUGCAGAGUAACCAUAAAAAGAUAUAAAGUUCAUAGCUCAGAUUGUCGACUUUUUUUAAUUAGUUUAAGUUAUGUUUUGCCAAUUACUACCUGCUACCAGAUACAUAAAUUUAACAUGUGGACAGUUGUUUGUUGCUGUUCUAUCAUCUAAAAGAUGAGUGUAUUCAUGCCACAGAAAUAUUCUGCUUUUCUUAUGUCCAAGUUCCAUUUAUUUCAGUGUGAAGAAUUAUUAGCAGAGAAUUCUUAACCAGGGAUGGUUCCAAAGAUGCUUGGCACAAAAAUUUAGCCAUUGGUGAAAGCAAAUAAUUUGAUCCAAAGAGUAACUCUGGCUGUUAAGUGACAAAUUGAGAUCUCAUUCUGCUACAUGAACAAUGGGAAAGCCAACCCAUACUUCGGAUUUUUUCCAAGCUGUAAUGGGAUGUUAAAUGUUCAUUUCCAUUACAUAUCUUUUCCUGUAAUCCAGUGACAUCUAUUUUAUGGUGAAGUGUUGCCUUGAGGAUGAUGGGAUAGAGGAAGAAGAAAUUGCUAAGGAGAAGAUAUUGUUGUUGCUGCCAAGUGCCCAAGUUACAGAAACUAAUGUUGAUCUGGUCACAGAGAAAAUUCAAGAUGAUGUUUUUUUUUUUUGCAAGAUUCAACAUAUGUUUGUACUACACUCACUAAUAUGCUGUGGUGUAUACACAAGUUGUACUUAUAAGAGAUUUGUGAAUUAAUAUAUUGUGAUUUUUUUCUUAUAGUACUUAUGAGUUUUUCUUGUCCAAAUGGAACCUAUAUAAGAUCGUAGUGUAAAUUAUUAAUUACAAAUUGGCAAGUAAGUAAUAUGUAUUUGGUAAAUGUGAA